RNAcentral lists this long non-coding RNA (294 nucleotides) under Citrus maxima (pomelo). RNAcentral describes it as "long non-coding RNA (CMAX_LNC002699)". The record is from RNAcentral. Lineage: Eukaryota; Viridiplantae; Streptophyta; Magnoliopsida; Sapindales; Rutaceae.
AAGGGAAAAGGACACAGAGACCCCUAACGUUUGAAUAAGGGACACAAAACCCCCUAAUGUUUCAAAAAAGACACUCAGACCCCUAUUUCUUAAUAGUAAAUUAUAAUUUUACCAUUAUACCCUUAUAGCAUAUUAAAAAAUAAUUGUUCAUUAUCCAAUUUAUUUCUAUAUUAUUAAAAAAAUUAUGAAUAUAACUUUAUUACCCAAUUUUUCCAUUUAAUUUUUAUCAAAUUUUAUCUUCAAAUUAAAUAAAUUUAAUCCAUUGCUCAAAAAUAAAAAUAAAUUAAAUUGAUU